UGGGAAGGGGCAGGCACUUUAAAAAGUACCUGGCAUGUGAUUGGACGAAGCAUUUGUCUAUCAACAUCCGCAAUUGUUUUAAACGAACAGUUGAUGCAGUCACCAUUGUUUCUUCAAAUCUAUGACCAAAUUUUUCCCAAAAGUUGCCCUAAUUCUCCUUCAUAUGUUUAUACUGGAAUAAAGUCUUCUUCCUAAAUAUGACUAAACAU
Etheostoma cragini (Arkansas darter) is the source of this 209-nucleotide long non-coding RNA. RefSeq lists it as uncharacterized. Lineage: Eukaryota; Metazoa; Chordata; Actinopteri; Perciformes; Percidae. The record is from RefSeq and is a predicted model, not a curated record. The transcript is spliced from 2 exons.